Molecule: long non-coding RNA, 3933 nt
Filed under: Homo sapiens (human)
Lineage: Eukaryota; Metazoa; Chordata; Mammalia; Primates; Hominidae
Description: HSALNT0321033
Source: RNAcentral
ACGACAGGCCCCAGUAUGUGAUGUUCCCUUCCCUGUGUCCGUGUGUUCUCCUUGUUCAACUCCCACUUAUGAGUGAGAACAUGCAGUGUUUGGUUUUCUGUUCUUGUGAUAGUUUGCUGAGAAAGAGGAUUUCCAGCUUCAUCCAUGUCCCUGCAAAGGACAUGAACUCAUCCUUUUUUAUGGCUGCAUAGCAUUCCAUAGUGUAUAUGUGCCACAUUUUCUUCAUCCAGUCUAUCACUGAUGGACAUUUGGGUUGGUUCCAAGUCUUUGCUAUUGUGAAUAGUGCUGCAAUAAACAUACAUACAUGUGUCUUUAUAGAAUGAUUUAUAAUCCUUUGGGUAUAUACCCAGUAAUGGCACUGUUGGGUCAAAUGGUAUUUCUAGUUCUAGAUCCUUGAGGAAUCGCCACACUGUCUUCCACAGUAGUUGAACUAAUUUACACUCCCACCAACAGUGUAAAAGCAUUCCUGUUUCUCCACAUCCUCUCCAGCAUCUGUUGUUUCCUGACUUUUUAAUGAUCGCCAUUCUAACUGGUGUGAGAUGGUAUCUCAUUGUGGUUUUGAUUUGUGGUCUAAUGACCAAUAAUGAUGAGCUUUUUUUCAUAUGUUUGUUGGCUGCAUAAAUGUCUUCUUUUGAGAAGUGUCUGUUCAUAUCCUUUGCCCACGUUUUGAUGGGGUUGUUUUUUUCUUGUAAAUUUGUUUAUGUUCUUUGUAGAUUCUGGAUGUUAGCCCUUUGUCAGAUGGACAGAUUGCAAAAAUUUUCUCCCACCUUGUAGGUUGCCUGUUCACUCUGAUGAUAGUUUCUUUCGCUGUGCAGAAGCUCUUUAGUUUAAUUAGAUCCCAUUUGUCUAUUUUGGCUUUUGUUGCCAUUGCUUUUAGUGUUUUAGUCAGGAAGUCUUUGCCCAUGCCUAUGUCCUGAAUGGUACUGCCCAGGUUUUCUUCUAGGAUUUUUAUGGUUCCAUAUGAAGUUUAAAGUAGUUUUUUCCAAUUCUGUGAAGAAAGUCAUUGGUAGCUUGAUGGGGAUAGCAUUGAAUCUAUAAUUACCUUGGGCAGUAUGGCCAUUUUGACAAUAUUGAUUCAUCCUAUCCAUCAGCAUGGAAUGUCUUUGCAUUUGUUUGUGUCCUCUCUUAUUUCCUUGAGCAGUGGUUUGUAGUUCUCCUUGAAGAGGUCCUUCACAUCCCUUGUAAGUUGGAUUCCUAGGUAUUUUAUUCUCUUUGAAGCAAUUGUGAAUGGGAGUUCACUCAUGAUUUGGCUCUCUGUUUGUCUGUUAUUGGUGUAUAGCAAUGCUUGUGAUUUUUGUACAUUGAUUUUGUAUUCUGAGACUUUGCUGAAGUUGCUUAUCAACUUAAGGAGAUUUUGGGCUGAGACGAUGGGGUUUUCUAAAUAUCUGUCAUCUGAAAACAGGGACAAUUUGACUUCCUCUCUUCCUAAUUGAAUAACCUUUAUUUUUAUUUCUUUCUCUUGCCUGAGUGCCCUGGCCAGAACUUCCAAUACUAUGUUGAAUAGGAGUGGUGAGAGAGGGCAUCCCUGUCUUGUGCCAGUUUUCAAAGGGAAUGCUUCCAGUGUUUCCUCAUUCAGUAUGAUAUUGGCUGUGGGUUUGUCAUAAAUAGCUCUUAUUAUUUUGAGAUAUGUUCCAUUGAUACCUAGUUUAUUGAGUUUUUAGCAUGAAGGAGUGUUGAAUUUUGUCAAAGGCCUUUUCUGCAUCUAUUGAGAUAAUCAUGCGGUUUUUGUCACUGGUUCUGUUUAUGUGAUGGAUUAUGUUUAUUGAUUUGUGUAUGUUGAACCAGCCUUGCAUCCCAGGGAUGAAGCUGACUUCAUCGUGGUGGAUAAGCUUUUUCAUGUGCUGCUGGAUUCUGUUUGCCAGUAUUUUAUUGAGGAUUUCUGCAUCAAUGUUCAUCAGAGAUAUUGGCCUGAAAUUUUCCUUUUUUGUGGUGUCUCUGCCAGGUUUUGGUAACAGGAUGAUGCUAGCCUCAUAAAAUGAGUUAGGGAGGAUUCCCUCUUUUUCUAUAGUUUGGAAUAGUUUCAGAAGGAAUGGUAUCAUCUCCUGUUUGUACCUCUGGUAGAAUUCGGCUGUGAAUCCAUCUGGUCCUGGACAUUUUGUUGGUAGGCUAUUAAUUACUGCCUCAAUUUCAGAACUUGUUAUUGGUCUAUUCAGGGAUUCAACUUCUUCCUGGUUUAGACUUGUGGGGGGUGUUAUGUGUCCAGGAUUUAUCCAUUAUUACAGGUUUUCUCAUUUAUUUGCAUAGAGGUGUUUAUAGUAUUCUCUGAUGGUAGUCUGUACUUCUGCGGGAUUGGUGGUGAUAUCCCCUAUAUCUUUUUUUUUUUUUUUUUUUUUUCUUGAGACAGAGUUUUGCUCUGUCGCCCAGGCUGGGGUGCAGUGGCGCGAUCUUGGCUCACUGCAAGCUCUGCCUCCCGGGUUCACACUAUUCUCCUGCCUCAGCCUCCCAAGUAGCUGGGACUACAGGCACCCGCCACCAAGCCUGGCUAAUUUUUUGUAUUUUUAGUAGAGACAGGGUUUCACCAUGUUAGCCAGGAUGGUCUCGAUCGCCUGACCUCGUGAUCCGCCCGCCUCGGCCUCCCAAAGUGCUGGGAUUACAGGCAUGAGCCACUGCACCUGGCCUCCUUUGUAUGUUUGAAAGAAUUUGCCUGUGACUGCAUCUGGUCCUGGGCUUUUUUUGUUGAGAGAUUUUUAUUACUGAUUCAAUUUCACUACUCAUCAUUGGUCUGUGCAGGGCUUCUAUUUCUUCAAUCUCAGGAGGUUGUGUCCCCAGGAGUUUAUCCAUUUCUUCCAGCUUUUCUAGUUUGUGAGCAUAUAGUUGUUAAUAAUAAUAGUCUCUGAUGAUCUUAUAUUUCCAUGAUCAGUUGUAAUGUCUCCUUUUUCAUUUCUGAUUGUGUUUAUUUUGAUCUUCUCUCUUCUUUUCUUGGUUAGUCUAGCUAGUGGUUUAUCAAUUUUGUUUAUCUUUUCAAAAAACCAACUUUUCAUUUCACUCAUCCUUUGUAUUGUUUUUUGGUCUCUAGUUCAUGUAGUUUUGCUCUGAUCUUUGUCGCUUAUUUUCUUGUAACUUUGAGUUUGGUUUGUUCUUAUUUUUCUAGUUCCUUCAAGUGUGAUGUUAGGUAACUUGUGACCUACUGUUUUGAUGUAGGCAUUUAGUGCUAUAAACUUCCCUCUUAGUACUGCUUUUGCAGUAUCUCACAGGUUUCACUAUGCUGUAUUUUCAUUUUCAUUCAAGGAAUUAUGCUUCAUUCUUCAUCGACCUUUUUAGUGAACACCCAGGAAGUUUUCCUGUGUGCUUGUAGUCUGCCUCCCUUUUUCCAAUUACAACACCUUGGUCUUUCUUUGGGCAAUAAGCUGGUGUUCUAGAGUAAGAUGGUAAGGAUGUGACCCAAUCCUGGCAAUCACAGCAUUCCACCUAUCUCACAUUAACAAUUGGUUUGGGACUAGUGGGUGCUUAAGACUUGUCCAGUAAGACUCAUCCUGGGAUUUCUAUUCAAGUAUUUUCAAAGAGAGACUCAUUUACUACAGUUAUUAAACUCAUGGGAAAGACAAUAGGAGCUGCUAGUAGCUACCUUGAAACCACAUGAGGAUACCCUAAGAAUGAAGCCAGUCCAAGAGAAAGCAAAGGCAAGAAAUGGACAGAGCCCUAUGACAUGGUUUGGUCACUGGAUAUAUUUUUAGGUAUAUGAGGCUAAUAACCUCCAUCUCACAGAGUGCAUGACUAACCACAGUAAAUUUAGGAUUCUGUGCUUCUCCAUCCCUUCUCCAUAACUAGUUUACCUCUUAAAGGGUAUCUGGAAUUUCAGUUGUCAUGUAACAUGAAAGUUUUGAAAUGAUGACUGGCCCAUUUACUAUUAAUUUUCUUGACACCUCCAUGAUGCUAGCCAACAAUGGUCUUUAAUUAAAGUCACACAUUUUCAAAAUUUUAUAUGUAUUUAAA